Molecule: ribosomal RNA, 447 nt
Filed under: uncultured bacterium
Lineage: Bacteria
Description: partial 16S ribosomal RNA
Rfam family: Bacterial small subunit ribosomal RNA
Source: RNAcentral
AACGAACGCUGGCGGCAUGCCUAACACAUGCAAGUCGAACGAUGCCUUCGGGCAUAGUGGCGCACGGGUGCGUAACGCGUGGGAAUCUGCCCUUGGCUUCGGAAUAACAGUUAGAAAUGACUGCUAAUACCGGAUGAUGUCCCCCUGAGAGAUCUUGGGGACCAAAGAUUUAUCGGCCAGGGAUGAGCCCGCGUAGGAUUAGGUAGUUGGUGGGGUAAAGGCCUACCAAGCCGACGAUCCUUAGCUGGUCUGAGAGGAUGAUCAGCCACACUGGGACUGAGACACGGCCCAGACUCCUACGGGAGGCAGCAGUGGGGAAUAUUGGACAAUGGGGGGAACCCUGAUCCAGCAAUGCCGCGUGAGUGAUGAAGGCCUUAGGGUUGUAAAGCUCUUUUACCAGGGAUGAUAAUGACAGUACCUGGAGAAUAAGCACCGGCUAACUCCGUG